Molecule: ribosomal RNA, 235 nt
Filed under: uncultured bacterium
Lineage: Bacteria
Description: partial 16S ribosomal RNA
Rfam family: Bacterial small subunit ribosomal RNA
Source: RNAcentral
CGGACGGGUGAGUAACGCGUGGGUAACCUGCCUCAUACAGGGGGAUAACGGUUAGAAAUGACUGCUAAUACCGCAUAAGCGCACAGUACCACAUGGUACAGUGUGAAAAACUCCGGUGGUAUGAGAUGGACCCGCGUCUGAUUAGCUAGUUGGUGAGGUAACGGCCCACCAAGGCGACGAUCAGUAGCCGACCUGAGAGGGUGACCGGCCACAUUGGGACUGAGACACGGCCCAG